GGUUGUGGCUCAGUGGUAGAGCACUUGCCUACUACGUGCAAGGCCCUGGAUUCGAUCCUCAGCACCA
This 67-nucleotide transfer RNA is filed under the name Marmota monax (woodchuck). Its description in RNAcentral is "tRNA.Ser". The record is from RNAcentral. Lineage: Eukaryota; Metazoa; Chordata; Mammalia; Rodentia; Sciuridae.